CUGGUGGUCGAGGGGAGCUGGGCGCAAGCCUGGCUGAGAGGACGAAAGUCGUCGACCCUUUGAACCUGAUCCGGGUAAUACCGGCGAAGGGAUGUGUCAUGAGCGGUAU
This 109-nucleotide non-coding RNA is filed under the name Candidatus Bathyarchaeota. RNAcentral describes it as "TPP sequence". It matches the Rfam family "TPP riboswitch aptamer (THI element)". From Rfam's summary of the family: Vitamin B(1) in its active form thiamin pyrophosphate (TPP) is an essential coenzyme that is synthesised by coupling of pyrimidine and thiazole moieties in bacteria. The previously detected thiamin-regulatory element, thi box was extended, resulting in a new, highly conserved RNA secondary structure, the THI element, which is widely distributed in eubacteria and also occurs in some archaea. Lineage: Archaea; Thermoproteati. The record is from RNAcentral.